GAAAUUUCUCAAUUUUUGCUUUUCAGCUAUCUAAAGUAAAUUGCCAGAUUUCUUAUGUGCUUCAGGAGAUUCCUCCCCAAAUGAAGCAGGGAUGGGACUCACUCCCGAGCCAUUUUCGCCCAGUAACACAGCUGUAUUUCCCUUGUUCCUGGACUCCCUGUGCUCAGCAUCUUCCUUCUGCCUCUGGAGACCCGUCCUUGUACCUCAGGACCUGGGUCACUCACCUCUUUGUCACCCAUUUCUGUGUCACCUACCUCUGCCACUCAGGAGGGUCCCCGCCACCUUGCUGCCGGAGCACUGAGCCACAGGCAAGCAGAGGUUUGUGAAGCCCAGAAAUAGUCCUAGGGAGAAGAGAAGAGAAGAGAACAGUGAGUGUUGGCUACCUGGCAAAGCUUCUGUACAAGUUGUCGCGGUGGAAAAUGCCUCGGAGGUCACAUUAACGUGUAGGCUCAUUGCUACGGACUGGCUCGCGUCCACCCCACCAAGCACUCUCUGAAGGGCACAAGCCAUGGUCACGCUUGGCAAAGGUCUUUCCUGAGCUCCCUGCAGAGCCCCACAGAACCUGGGUCAAUAAUGAUCACAUCCUGGACUUCUUUUUUUUUGUGCUAGUUUGAAAUUCUCCAGGUAAUGAAAGGCACUGCCAGAACUGCACGUCCACAGAAGGACGUUGACGGUGUCUUGUGUUCUGCAUCAUGGCGUGAAGGUCAGUGGGCAUGAGGUCUCCUGAGAUGUUUGGAGGACUGUCCAAGCCUGGUCCAGCUCAUGACAGGUUUUUCCGUCUGGGCAACCCUGGAAAAAGCAGCCUGUCAGUCGUGCCGAGGUUUCUUCUUGGGAGAAACCAGUUGGUUUGCUCCAGAGCAGAGACAGGAGGGAGCUCAUAUGCAUGCCGUGGAGACAGCCGGUAUUAAGGGACCUGGGAUGGCUCAGCUGAACAGCACGCAAAUAGAGUUUGGAACCAGAAAUGAACCCAGAUUUAAAGCAGCCGGCAGUGCUUGUGUACAGACUGAACUGAUUUAUCGUGCAUGUUAUGUGCUGAGUUGCAAAACCUUGCUAUAUUAGUGAUUUAACUGGAGGAACAAUUUGAUUUGUCAUUACCAAUAGGGAUGGAACUAAAUUAGUCUCCCACACACUCUACGCUGAUGAGGUCAUGCUUAGAUUUCCCUUUGUAGAUUCACAUUCGCAAUACUUUUAAUCACUGGUAAGAAACAUAACAUGAGUAAAACUAUUAUGAAACGCUGGAGUACUUUCAGAGGGGUUUAGAAACCCGAGAAAAUCGUAGAAGUCAAAAUCAAAGAUAAGCUUUAAUAUUCAGCCCUGUGUUGUACGUCUGAUUAAAUAUUAAUUCACAGCAGUAUGUUGGGUACUUACAGUCAAGUUCUCUUGACCCAUUUGAAAUGCACGGUCACGUAAAUGAACCUGGCAUUUGAAAAAGGACAGCCCUGCAGACUCUACUUAAAUCUUUUCUACAGUUCUUGCUUAAUUAGUGGCCUGACCCUGCCCUUAUAAGUUGUUGACUUGAUCAGUGGCGUGGAGUUAUGAAAACACUGCUGUAAGAUAGAUAAGCAAGCUUUGAAAAACACAGAGGCUCUCUGCAAAAUAUUUUGUUCACUUUCUUUUUCUUUCUUUUUUUUUUUUUUCCCCUUAAUCAAAGGACAAAAGGAUGGCAACCAAAUUCUAGUUUAUUCAAAGAAUUUGGCUUUUUACUGCCAGUAGCAGAGCUGCAGUACAUAUGGGAACAUGGGGAACUGGUCUGCUUUCUGCUAAAAAGAGGAAAAAAGAAAAAGCCACCGGGUGGAGCCGUUCCCUGAACUACUUAGUGGGAGAUGAUUUGGGAAAAGAAGCAGAUAGCUCACAGUCCAAACUCAAUGCUGAAUUACCCAAACCAUAGCAACCCUCUUUGCUGUUUGCCUGUUGUUGGGGAACUUGGUGGGAAGACAGUGCAGGCUAGAAGAGUUCUACUUCAUCUUCUGCUCUUCCCCUUCUCAGGGGGUACAUGACGUCCUUGACCAUGGCCAACACAUCCACAAACAUCAGUGAAUGUUGGCUACUCUCAGCCCCUGUUUUGACCAUCAAAUAAAUUCAGCACUGGGGUGAAGCCACCUAAUCCCCAUCCACAGCCAUUCCUUCAUUCCAAAGCCUGGUACUGACAUUUUUUUAAUAUUUUUUUUUUCUUGUGAGAAACUGUUAAUAGCAUUUUGUUUGGUAUCACUGCUUUGAUCUCCCAACUUAAAUACCACAUUAAUUCAGAGCUCCCAUGGGUGGAUGAGUUCACAUUAUUAGUUAACCUCUUCUCCUGGAAGUCUCAAAUAUGAUUUAGAAAUAAUUCUGUGCAUUGUGACGGAAACAAACAAACAAAUUAUCAUUAAUUACAAGUAUAAAUAAGAGGGAUUUCUAUCAUUAGAUGAAACAGAAUUCAGAUGCCAGCUCUUUGCAUUUCUUUUGCACUGCAAUAAAGCAAAUUUUCAAAUUCUGCAUGGUCUGCCUAACAAGUCUCCUUUCUGGUAAGAAACUAAAGGCAUUUUCUGGAAUGCCUGUGAGCAAUAAGCUAGCUGGAUCCAGGAAAUAGAUUUUGAUCCUUCUUUUGGGAAUAGAAACCGAGCCGCAAAAUUUGGGAACACCCAAAUUUCAUUACUCCUGUCAACUCGUGAAUGGUUUAUUACUAGUUUAAACUCCUUUAAGCCAUCCUUCAAGGUGUUUUUGAUCAUAUCCACAAAAGGACCAAGGUAAAGCUUUGUGAAGAGCCUCUCAGCUGCCACGUGCAGAUUGCUGACUUCUCACAAAGAACAUGCCUGUGGGGGCUCGACCAUCUACACCUUGGCAGUGCUGAGGAGCCUCUCUUCCCAACAACUGCUAGGUGUUCCUCAAGCACAAAAGGAGGAACAUGGUGACUUCACCACCCAGUGCCAGAAGGCGGCUUUUUGCUGGUGGUAGUGGUCAUUUCUGUGUAAUAUUAAAGAUUACACCUUUAUAUUUUUAAUCUAAUUACAUUUUAUGUUGUAAUUCCAAGUUCCUGUCUCUAACCAGUCAGCUGCAUGCUGCAGUCACCAAGGCCCAGACGUGGUUCCAUGCUCAUCCUUCUGCCCUGUGAAUCUCCAGCCUGGUCCUGCACAGGA
Molecule: long non-coding RNA, 3113 nt
Organism: Cairina moschata (Muscovy duck)
Lineage: Eukaryota; Metazoa; Chordata; Aves; Anseriformes; Anatidae
Source: Ensembl